AUGUAAGCUUUCUAAUUCUCUCCUACUAAUAAUCAUUUUCAGAUUUUUUUUUUUUUACCUCAAGAAAAUUUUCUGUGAACAUUUCAUUCACAAGGAUUUCUACGAUGGGUAAAAGGAUUAUGGGUUAUGCACAUCAAAUUUCUCUGAAUAAUAUUCAAGGUAAAUUCAACCGACGAAGAUUAAGCAAUUCUAGCGAGCCUAUCUACUCCUAAAUAUUGAAGGACGCACAGGAAAACAGAGGAAAAUUAAGCAUGUAUGCGCUUUGUAUUGUAUCAUGGAAAAUCUUAUUUUAAGUUGUUGUGGAUUACCAUUCAUCUUUGAAAAUGAAAAAAAUGUUGCAGACUUAUUUUGAUAUUGUUAUCGAUUUUGGGUUUUUUCAUAGGACACUUACUUGAAGGGGGAAAUACGUGAACCCUGUGGACAUUAUGCAAUCGGAGAAGAAUUGAAUGUUUUUUAUUGAGAAAUGUUAAUCCAUUAGCCUUCGCACGGUAAAUGGAAAUAGGAGGGCUAGGAUGGCACAUUGCUCAUUUUGUGUUAGUAAUUUUUACAAGUACCCCUUUUAAUAAACUUAUUUUGAAUUUAAUAUAGGAAAGUGUCUUAAAGUUAUGAUUAAA
Lycium barbarum (goji berry) is the source of this 614-nucleotide long non-coding RNA. RefSeq lists it as uncharacterized. Lineage: Eukaryota; Viridiplantae; Streptophyta; Magnoliopsida; Solanales; Solanaceae. The record is from RefSeq and is a predicted model, not a curated record. The transcript has 3 exons.